AGUGGCGGACGGGUGAGUAACGCGUGGGUAACCUGCCUUGUACAGGGGGAUAACAGUUGGAAACGACUGCUAAUACCGCAUAAGCGCACAGUACCGCAUGGUACAGUGUGAAAAACUCCGGUGGUACGAGAUGGACCCGCGUCUGAUUAGCUUGUUGGUGGGGUAACGGCCUACCAAGGCAACGAUCAGUAGCCGACUUGAGAGAGUGAUCGGCCACAUUGGGACUGAGACACGGCCCAAACUCCUACGGGAGGCAGCAUG
This 261-nucleotide ribosomal RNA is filed under the name uncultured bacterium. RNAcentral describes it as "partial 16S ribosomal RNA". It matches the Rfam family "Bacterial small subunit ribosomal RNA", at positions 94 to 353 of the family's 1533-position model. The record is from RNAcentral.